RNAcentral lists this ribosomal RNA (467 nucleotides) under uncultured bacterium. Its description in RNAcentral is "partial 16S ribosomal RNA". It matches the Rfam family "Bacterial small subunit ribosomal RNA", at positions 29 to 507 of the family's 1533-position model. The record is from RNAcentral.
ACGAACGCUGGCGGCGUGCUUAACACAUGCAAGUCGAACGGAAAGGCCCUGCUUUUGUGGGGUGCUCGAGUGGCGAACGGGUGAGUAACACGUGAGUAACCUGCCCUUGACUUUGGGAUAACUUCAGGAAACUGGGGCUAAUACCGGAUAGGAGCUCCUGCUGCAUGGUGGGGGUUGGAAAGUUUCGGCGGUUGGGGAUGGACUCGCGGCUUAUCAGCUUGUUGGUGGGGUAGUGGCUUACCAAGGCUUUGACGGGUAGCCGGCCUGAGAGGGUGACCGGCCACAUUGGGACUGAGAUACGGCCCAGACUCCUACGGGAGGCAGUAGUGGGGAAUAUUGCACAAUGGGCGGAAGCCUGAUGCAGCAACGCCGCGUGCGGGAUGACGGCCUUCGGGUUGUAAACCGCUUUCGCCUGUGACGAAGCGUGAGUGACGGUAAUGGGUAAAGAAGCACCGGCUAACUACGUG